This 434-nucleotide ribosomal RNA is filed under the name uncultured Lachnospiraceae bacterium. RNAcentral describes it as "bacterial SSU rRNA". It matches the Rfam family "Bacterial small subunit ribosomal RNA", at positions 341 to 792 of the family's 1533-position model. Lineage: Bacteria; Bacillati; Bacillota; Clostridia; Lachnospirales; Lachnospiraceae. The record is from RNAcentral.
ACGGAAGGCAGCAGUGGGGAAUAUUGCACAAUGGGGGAAACCCUGAUGCAGCGACGCCGCGUGAGUGAUGAAGUAUUUCGGUAUGUAAAGCUCUAUCGAUGGGGAAGAAAAUGACGGUACCCAAGUAAGAAGCCCCGGCUAACUACGUGCCAGCAGCCGCGGUAAUACGUAGGGGGCAAGCGUUAUCCGGAUUUACUGGGUGUAAAGGGAGCGUAGGUGGCAUGGCAAGUCAGAAGUGAAACCCCAGGGCUUAACCUUGGGAUUGCUUUUGAAACUGUUAAGCUAGAGUGCAGGAGGGGUAAGCGGAAUUCCUAGUGUAGCGGUGAAAUGCGUAGAUAUUAGGAAGAACACCGGUGGCGAAGGCGGCUUACUGGACUGUAACUGACACUGAGGCUCGAAAGCGUGGGGAGCAAACAGGAUUAGAUACCCUGGUA